Molecule: ribosomal RNA, 957 nt
Filed under: Vibrio sp.
Lineage: Bacteria; Pseudomonadati; Pseudomonadota; Gammaproteobacteria; Vibrionales; Vibrionaceae
Description: bacterial SSU rRNA
Rfam family: Bacterial small subunit ribosomal RNA
Source: RNAcentral
ACGAGUUAACUGAACCUUCGGGGAACGUUAACGGCGUCGAGCGGCGGACGGGUGAGUAAUGCCUGGGAAAUUGCCCUGAUGUGGGGGAUAACCAUUGGAAACGAUGGCUAAUACCGCAUAAUAGCUUCGGCUCAAAGAGGGGGACCUUCGGGCCUCUCGCGUCAGGAUAUGCCCAGGUGGGAUUAGCUAGUUGGUGAGGUAAUGGCUCACCAAGGCGACGAUCCCUAGCUGGUCUGAGAGGAUGAUCAGCCACACUGGAACUGAGACACGGUCCAGACUCCUACGGGAGGCAGCAGUGGGGAAUAUUGCACAAUGGGCGCAAGCCUGAUGCAGCCAUGCCGCGUGUAUGAAGAAGGCCUUCGGGUUGUAAAGUACUUUCAGCAGUGAGGAAGGCGGAGUCGUUAAUAGCGGCCUCGUUUGACGUUAGCUGCAGAAGAAGCACCGGCUAACUCCGUGCCAGCAGCCGCGGUAAUACGGAGGGUGCGAGCGUUAAUCGGAAUUACUGGGCGUAAAGCGCAUGCAGGUGGUUUGUUAAGUCAGAUGUGAAAGCCCGGGGCUCAACCUCGGAAUUGCAUUUGAAACUGGCAGACUAGAGUACUGUAGAGGGGGGUAGAAUUUCAGGUGUAGCGGUGAAAUGCGUAGAGAUCUGAAGGAAUACCGGUGGCGAAGGCGGCCCCCUGGACAGAUACUGACACUCAGAUGCGAAAGCGUGGGGAGCAAACAGGAUUAGAUACCCUGGUAGUCCACGCCGUAAACGAUGUCUACUUGGAGGUUGUGGCCUUGAGCCGUGGCUUUCGGAGCUAACGCGUUAAGUAGACCGCCUGGGGAGUACGGUCGCAAGAUUAAAACUCAAAUGAAUUGACGGGGGCCCGCACAAGCGGUGGAGCAUGGGGUUUAAUUCGAUGCAACGCGAAAACCCUUCCUACUCUUGACUCCAAAGACUUUCAGAGAUGAUUG